AGUGAACGCUGGCGGUAGGCCUAACACAUGCAGGUCGAACGGCAGCACAGGAGAGCUUGCUCUCUGGGUGGCGAGUGGCGGACGGGUGAGGAAUACAUCGGAAUCUACUUUUUCGUGGGGGAUAACGUAGGGAAACUUACGCUAAUACCGCAUACGACCUACGGGUGAAAGCAGGGGACCUUCGGGCCUUGCGCGAUUGAAUGAGCCGAUGUCGGAUUAGCUAGUUGGCGGGGUAAAGGCCCACCAAGGCGACGAUCCAUAGCUGGUCUGAGAGGAUGAUCAGCCACACUGGAACUGAAACACGGUCCAGACUCCUACGGGAGUCAGCAGUGGGGAAUAUUGGACAAUGGGCACAAGCCUGAUCCAGCCAUACCGCGUGGGUGAAGAAGGCCUUCGGGUUGUAGAGCCCUUUUGUUGGGAAAGAAAUCCAGCUGGCUAAUACCCGGUUGGGAUGACGGUACCCAAAGAAUAAGCACCGGCUAACUUCGUGCCAGCAGCCGCCGUAA
RNAcentral lists this ribosomal RNA (506 nucleotides) under uncultured bacterium. Its description in RNAcentral is "partial 16S ribosomal RNA". It matches the Rfam family "Bacterial small subunit ribosomal RNA", at positions 29 to 523 of the family's 1533-position model. The record is from RNAcentral.